This 1341-nucleotide ribosomal RNA is filed under the name Glaesserella parasuis. RNAcentral's name for it is "partial 23S ribosomal RNA". It matches the Rfam family "Bacterial large subunit ribosomal RNA", at positions 179 to 1447 of the family's 2925-position model. The record is from RNAcentral. Lineage: Bacteria; Pseudomonadati; Pseudomonadota; Gammaproteobacteria; Pasteurellales; Pasteurellaceae.
GCAAACCGGGAGAACUGAAACAUCUAAGUACCCCGAGGAAAAGAAAUCAACCGAGAUUUUGUAAGUAGCGGCGAGCGAAAGCGAAAGAGCCAGUGAGUGAUAGCAGCAAAGACAGAAGAAUUGGCUGGGAAGCCAAGCGACACAGGGUGAUAGCCCCGUAUUCGAAGUUUUUGUUGUGGUACUAAGCUUGCAACAAGUAGGGCGGGACACGAGAAAUCCUGUUUGAAGAUGGGGGGACCAUCCUCCAAGGCUAAAUACUCCUGAUUGACCGAUAGUGAACCAGUACUGUGAAGGAAAGGCGAAAAGAACCCCAGUGAGGGGAGUGAAAUAGAACCUGAAACCGUGUACGUACAAGCAGUGGGAGCCCUUUGGGGUGACUGCGUACCUUUUGUAUAAUGGGUCAGCGACUUAUAUUUUGUAGCGAGGUUAACUGAAUAAGGGAGCCGAAGGGAAACCGAGUCUUAACUGGGCGGAUAGUUGCAAGGUAUAGACCCGAAACCCGGUGAUCUAGCCAUGGGCAGGUUGAAGGUUGGGUAACACUAACUGGAGGACCGAACCGACUAAUGUUGAAAAAUUAGCGGAUGACUUGUGGCUGGGGGUGAAAGGCCAAUCAAACCGGGAGAUAGCUGGUUCUCCCCGAAAUCUAUUUAGGUAGAGCCUUAUGUGAAUACCUUCGGGGGUAGAGCACUGUUUCGGCUAGGGGUCCAUCCCGGAUUACCAACCCGAUGCAAACUGCGAAUACCGAAGAGUAAUGCAUAGGAGACACACGGUGGGUGCUAACGUCCAUCGUGGAGAGGGAAACAACCCAGACCGCCAGCUAAGGUCCCAAAGUCUAUAUUAAGUGGGAAACGAAGUGGGAAGGCUUAGACAGCUAGGAUGUUGGCUUAGAAGCAGCCAUCAUUUAAAGAAAGCGUAAUAGCUCACUAGUCGAGUCGGCCUGCGCGGAAGAUGUAACGGGGCUAAAAUAUAGCACCGAAGCUGCGGCAUCAGGCGUAUCACUAAUACGCCUUACGAUUAACAACAUCGAAUGAAGUGAAACGGAAUGAGAUGUUGGUCAAGCAACCCGAACGUUGAGUCGGAAAGUAAUCGAAGAGAGGAUUAUUAGUGAUACGCCUGUUGGGUAGGGGAGCGUUGUGUAAGCGGAUGAAGGUGAAUCGAGAGGUUUGCUGGACGUAUCACAAGUGCGAAUGCUGACAUAAGUAACGAUAAAACGAGUGAAAAACUCGUUCGCCGGAAGACCAAGGGUUCCUGUCCAACGUUAAUCGGGGCAGGGUGAGUCGGCCCCUAAGGCGAGGCUGAAAAGCGUAGUCGAUGGGAAACGGGUUAAUAUUCCCGUACUUG